GCCCGGCUAGCUCAGGCGGUAGAGCAUGAGACUCUAAAUUUCAGGGUUGUGGGUUCGAGCCCCACGUUGGGCG
Molecule: transfer RNA, 73 nt
Filed under: Petromyzon marinus (sea lamprey)
Lineage: Eukaryota; Metazoa; Chordata; Hyperoartia; Petromyzontiformes; Petromyzontidae
Description: tRNA-Sup (CTA) (tRNA-Sup-CTA-1-1)
Rfam family: tRNA
About the family: Transfer RNA (tRNA) molecules are approximately 80 nucleotides in length. Their secondary structure includes four short double-helical elements and three loops (D, anti-codon, and T loops).
Source: RNAcentral